AGUGAACGCUGGCGGUAGGCCUAACACAUGCAAGUCGAACGGCAGCACAGUAAGAGCUUGCUCUUACGGGUGGCGAGUGGCGGACGGGUGCGUAAUACAUCGGAAUCUACUUUUUCGUGGGGGCUAACGUAGGGAAACUUACGCUAAUACCGCAUACGACCUACGGGUGAAAGCAGGGGAUCUUCGGACCUUGCGCGAUUGAAUGAGCCGAUGUCGGAUUAGCUAGUUGGCGGGGUAAAGGCCCACCAAGGCGACGAUCCGUAGCUGGUCUGAGAGGAUGAUCAGCCACACUGGAACUGAGACACGGUCCAGACUCCUACGGGAGGAAGCAGUGGGGAAUAUUGGACAAUGGGCGAAAGCCUGAUCCAGCCAUACCGCGUGGGUGAAGAAGGCCUUCGGGUUGUAAAGCCCUUUUGUUGGGAAAGAAAAGCAGCAGGUUAAUACCCCGCUGUUCUGACGGUACCCAAAGAAUAAGCACCGGCUAACUUCGUG
This 492-nucleotide ribosomal RNA is filed under the name uncultured bacterium. RNAcentral describes it as "partial 16S ribosomal RNA". It matches the Rfam family "Bacterial small subunit ribosomal RNA", at positions 29 to 507 of the family's 1533-position model. The record is from RNAcentral.